Mesocricetus auratus (golden hamster) is the source of this 686-nucleotide long non-coding RNA. RefSeq lists it as uncharacterized. The transcript is spliced from 3 exons. Lineage: Eukaryota; Metazoa; Chordata; Mammalia; Rodentia; Cricetidae. The record is from RefSeq and is a predicted model, not a curated record.
GUGAGUUCUGGUCUGGUUUAAUCUUCACAGGUUUAUGAGAUGGAAGCCAAGAUAAUGAUUCCUUUACUUCUGAGAAGGCUGUUUUUAGUGAGGAAUAGGAGGUCGUCGUGAAGUCUGUGUGGACCCUGCGUGAAGCGUCGCUGUGAGGAGGGUGAAGACCCUGCUUCACAUUCCAGUUCCACCUCCAUCUUUGUUUGCCCUUUUUCGCUUAUCGGGACAUUCUAGGAUUUUCGAGGGCAUCUGACUUAACUCCCCAUCCAGUAGAGGAGGUCUGCUUCAUUCUGUGGCCCGCCUGAAUCAAGGAAGACUCAAUCUGUGUCAAGAAUCUCUACCGCGGCUUCAACAUCUUGUGGUAAUCAUGGGCGCCCUUCGGGACAGGGGAAGUUUGACCUGGUGUGAAGAGGAAAGCUGCUCUUCGUGGGGUUUCGGUUCCCAGAAAAGCACCUUUUCCUGAGAGCAGGGUGGGACCGUGCAGGGAAACCUGAGCAUGCCCAAGGACGGCCGGGAAAAUACGGUUGCAAGUGUGUCUCUCGAACACGGAACGUGGAUGAAUCUCCUCUGUGGCUUUUCAGCUGUGAAGAAAUGAAGGCCCGGGAAGGCAAACAUAAUGAACCGUCUCUGUGAUGAAAGCGUGUAUUCCCACUUGAGGGACUUUAAAGGUCCAUGAAUGCACUGGUUUGAAAUAC